Molecule: ribosomal RNA, 753 nt
Filed under: Salmonella enterica subsp. enterica serovar Paratyphi B
Lineage: Bacteria; Pseudomonadati; Pseudomonadota; Gammaproteobacteria; Enterobacterales; Enterobacteriaceae
Description: bacterial LSU rRNA
Rfam family: Bacterial large subunit ribosomal RNA
Source: RNAcentral
AGUGGAAGCGUCUGGAAAGGCGCGCGAUACAGGGUGACAGCCCCGUACACAAAAGCGCAUGUGCUGUGAGCUCGAUGAGUAGGGCGGGACACGUGGUAUCCUGUCUGAAUAUGGGGGGACCAUCCUCCAAGGCUAAAUACUCCUGACUGACCGAUAGUGAACCAGUACCGUGAGGGAAAGGCGAAAAGAACCCCGGCGAGGGGAGUGAAAAAGAACCUGAAACCGUGUACGUACAAGCAGUGGGAGCCCCACCACUAAGCCAGUGGUGAACUCCACAUACGCAUCCUUUGCUGAGGAUAAGGUUAACGGAGCGAAAGCGACGUUCAACCGCAAAAGAAGCAGAGGGGGCUUAGUGGUGGGGUGACUGCGUACCUUUUGUAUAAUGGGUCAGCGACUUAUAUUCUGUAGCAAGGUUAACCGUAUAGGGGAGCCGCAGGGAAACCGAGUCUUAACCGGGCGUUAAGUUGCAGGGUAUAGACCCGAAACCCGGUGAUCUAGCCAUGGGCAGGUUGAAGGUUGGGUAACACUAACUGGAGGACCGAACCGACUAAUGUUGAAAAAUUAGCGGAUGACCUGUGGCUGGGGGUGAAAGGCCAAUCAAACCGGGAGAUAGCUGGUUCUCCCCGAAAGCUAUUUAGGUAGCGCCUCGUGAAUUCAUCUCCGGGGGUAGAGCACUGUUUCGGCUAGGGGGCCAUCCCGGCUUACCAACCCGAUGCAAACUGCGAAUACCGGAGAAUGUUAUCACGGGAGACA